UAUCAAACAUUACUAUUCACAAUUCAUUUCAACUUCCACUUCCACAGAAAAUUAAAAACGCACAAAAACUAAAUUCCGAAAAUUACGCACCAUACUAAACUAGAAUUUUAAAACAAAGGGUAAUUAGCACAAAACGUCCCUACCUUUCAAGGUUUUUGUGGAAAAUGUCCAAACCUUUCGUUUUUUGACAAUUUCACCCUCACUUUUGCCUUUUAUUGCGGAAAACAUCCUUCCGUCUAUAUACUGUUAAAAUGCUCCGUUAAAUCAAAUAAAAUGGGAUUUUUAUUUUCAAAAGAGAAGGGUAAGAUUGUCCAAAAAUUGAUUGAUAAAAGCAGAAGAAAUACAAAAACAGUAUCUACUAGAAGCUCCUAAUUUAUCUUGCCAGUACUCCGGCCGAAGUUGGAAUUGAUUUCGGAAAGCCACACGUAAUUUCUAAUAUUGAUUUCAAAAAGUGGAAUCUGUUUGGCAAGUUGGGAAUUAGUUAGGAAUUUUGUUGCAUUUUAGUUUAUUGUGAUGUAAAUAUAUACAACAUGAGGAAAUAUUCUUGUAAGUAUUGCCUAUAUAUAC
RNAcentral lists this long non-coding RNA (567 nucleotides) under Olea europaea (common olive). RNAcentral's name for it is "long non-coding RNA (OEUR_LNC005382)". The record is from RNAcentral. Lineage: Eukaryota; Viridiplantae; Streptophyta; Magnoliopsida; Lamiales; Oleaceae.